Long non-coding RNA from Mesocricetus auratus (golden hamster), 470 nucleotides. RefSeq lists it as uncharacterized. Lineage: Eukaryota; Metazoa; Chordata; Mammalia; Rodentia; Cricetidae. The record is from RefSeq and is a predicted model, not a curated record. The transcript has 2 exons.
GUCUGUAAGUGCAUGGUGUGUGUACUUGGUGCCCCACAAGCCAGAAGAGGCUGCCGGGUCCCCUGGAACUGGAGUGGCAUAGGGUAGUGAGCUGGGAAACAAAUCCGGGUCUUCUGGAAGAGCAGCCAGUGCUCUUAGCUGCUGAGCCACCUCUGUACCUGGCUUUAAAAAUGUUGAGAAGAAGUAAGACCCAAGUCCCCGAGGCAACAGAGGACGCAAAAAAGGGCAGCAACCACACUCGGGCCAAACGGCUUCUUAAGGUUUUAGUGUCACAAUGUGACCACGACGUCCACAACCCUAACCAUGAGCUACCUUGUACAACUGUAAACAUGGGCACACAUUCCUCUUGUAGUCCAACUCCACAGAGCUUGGUCAAGGACAUUGUUUAAAAACACUAACGAGCCCCUUGAAUGCUUGCUGCAUAGACACAGAACAUUUGAAUUUGGCAUUAAAGGGACCACAGCAUCCGA